Callithrix jacchus (white-tufted-ear marmoset) is the source of this 795-nucleotide non-coding RNA. Lineage: Eukaryota; Metazoa; Chordata; Mammalia; Primates; Cebidae. The record is from RefSeq and is a predicted model, not a curated record.
GAGUGUGGGUGGGUAGGUGGGUGUGAUCGAGUGAGGGCGUGGGUCUGGAAGCGUCCGCCAGACUGUGCGACUGUCGCUGCCUUGCCUUCCCCGCCCCCUCUCCCUUUCCCCCUUCUCUCCCCCCUGUUGCCACACUCCUUAGAUAGGAACUGGGCGACCUAGAACGAGGUUCCCAUCCCAUCUUUUAAAAAGCAAAACUUAGUCUCUGUUUUGCUUUUUGUUUCAUUGCUUUUAGCUUUAAAGAGUAAGAGCUGCGCGCCCGGCUCGCUCUUGCUAAUUAGACUUCAGAUCCCCCAUCCGGCCUCAGUGCUCAAUUCCGGGGAAGACACCUGCUGAGAUGUCUUUUUCCCCCUCCCCCAACCAAACCACUCUAGUCCUGCCUGUGCUUUCCCGGCUUGAUGCAGGCAUGUUUUUUCUCUAUGCAUUUUUUCGUGCGACAACAAACAGCAUCAGCUGGGGUUCCCGAAGGUCAGAAAAUGGCUAUUGAUUAAUCUAUUAGAAUAGUUGCCGAGAGAAACAAAAACGACGUAAAAUAACAGGGAACCUAUAAAUAAAGAAGCCAUAACUGGCUACUUGGAGUUGUUAAACGACUUAGCAUAUGAAAAAAUCGGAAAUGAGGCGCUGGGAAAGGAGCCGGGAUUGGCGGCGGCCUGGGGUGUAGACAAAUCCUCCAAGAUUUAACUUCCGAGGAAACCGUCGGCAGAGCGGGUGGAGGAGGCGAGGAUGUGUGGCCAGUGCACGCGGAGUGCAAUGCAAGUCAGUGAUGGCCGCCUAGUUGGGAGCAGCAAGAGCCUG